UACCUGGUUGAUCCUGCCAGUAGUCAUAUGCUUGUCUCAAAGACUAAGCCAUGCAUGUCUAAGUAUAAGUGUUAUACAGCGAAACUGCGAAUGGCUCAUUAAAACAGUUAUAGUUCAUUUGAUAAUCGAAUUUACAUGGAUAACCGUGGUAAUUCUAGAGCUAAUACAUGCUGGUGUGCCCGACUUUUGUGGAAGGGCGGUAUUUAUUAGAUAACAAGCCAAUAUUCCUCUGGUCUAUUGUGGUGACUCAUAAUAACUGAUCGAAUCGCAAGGCCUAUGGCCGCGGUAAGUCAUUCAAGUUUCUGCCCCAUCAGCUUUCGAUGGUAGUGUAUUGGACUACCAUGGCGUUUACGGGUAACGGAGGAUUAGGGUUCGAUUCCGGAGAGGGAGCCUGAGAAACGGCUACCACAUCCAAGGAAGGCAGCAGGCGCGUAAAUUACCCAAUCCUGACUCAGGGAGGUAGUGACAAGAAAUAACGGACCGGGGCCUUACGGCUUCGGGAUUGCAAUGAGCCGAAUUUACACCCCUUAGCGAAGAUCGAUUGGAGGGCAAGUCUGGUGCCAGCAGCCGCGGUAAUUCCAGCUCCAAUAGC
RNAcentral lists this ribosomal RNA (592 nucleotides) under uncultured marine eukaryote. RNAcentral describes it as "SSU rRNA". It matches the Rfam family "Eukaryotic small subunit ribosomal RNA", at positions 1 to 598 of the family's 1831-position model. The record is from RNAcentral.